This 380-nucleotide ribosomal RNA is filed under the name uncultured Nitrososphaerota archaeon. Its description in RNAcentral is "bacterial SSU rRNA". It matches the Rfam family "Archaeal small subunit ribosomal RNA", at positions 471 to 851 of the family's 1478-position model. Lineage: Archaea; Thermoproteati; Nitrososphaerota. The record is from RNAcentral.
UAAAACCAGCACCUCAAGUGGUCAGGAGGGUUAUUGGGCCUAAAGCAUCCGUAGCCUGUUUUGUAAGUCUUCGGUUAAAUCCACAUGCUUAACAUGUGGGCUGCCGGAGAUACUGCAAAACUAGGGAGUGGGAGAGGUAGACGGUACUUGGUAGGAAGGGGUAAAAUCCUUUGAUCUAUUGAUGACCACCUGUGGCGAAGGCGGUCUACCAGAACACGUUCGACGGUGAGGGAUGAAAGCUGGGGGAGCAAACCGGAUUAGAUACCCGGGUAGUCCCAGCUGUAAACGAUGCAGACUCGGUGAUGCAUUGGUUUAUUGCCAGUGCAGUGCCGCAGGGAAGCCGUUAAGUCUGCCGCCUGGGAAGUACGUACGCAAGUAUG